This 460-nucleotide ribosomal RNA is filed under the name uncultured bacterium. Its description in RNAcentral is "partial 16S ribosomal RNA". It matches the Rfam family "Bacterial small subunit ribosomal RNA", at positions 338 to 795 of the family's 1533-position model. The record is from RNAcentral.
CCUACGGGAGGCAGCAGUGAGGAAUAUUGGUCAAUGGACGCAAGUCUGAACCAGCCAUGCCGCGUGCAGGAAGAAGGCUCUAUGAGUUGUAAACUGCUUUUGUACGAGGGUAAACGCAGAUACGCGUAUCUGUCUGAAUGUAUCGUACGAAUAAGGAUCGGCUAACUCCGUGCCAGCCGCCGCGGUAAUACGGAGGAUUCAAGCGUUAUCCGGAUUUAUUGGGUUUAAAGGGUGCGUAGGCGGUCGGAUAAGUUAGAGGUGAAAUCCCGGGGCUCAACUUCGGAAUUGCCUCUGAUACUGUUCGGCUAGAGUGUAGUUGCGGUAGGCGGAAUGUAUGGUGUAGCGGUGAAAUGCUUAGAGAGCAUACAGAACACCGAUUGCGAAGGCAGCUUACCGGGCUACUACUGACGUUGAGGCACGAAAGCGUGGGGAGCAAACAGGAUUAGAUACCCGAGUAGUC